UAAAUACUCCUUCCAUCCGAAAUUACUUAUCGUAAAAAUAGAUAAGAAUGGAUGUAUCUAGAAUUAAAAUACAUCUACAUACAUCCAUUCCCCCGACAAGUAUUUUCGGGUGGAAGGAGUAUAAG
This is a non-coding RNA of Hordeum vulgare subsp. vulgare (domesticated barley), 125 nucleotides long. The record is from Rfam. Lineage: Eukaryota; Viridiplantae; Streptophyta; Magnoliopsida; Poales; Poaceae.